RNAcentral lists this ribosomal RNA (515 nucleotides) under uncultured bacterium. Its description in RNAcentral is "partial 16S ribosomal RNA". It matches the Rfam family "Bacterial small subunit ribosomal RNA", at positions 29 to 523 of the family's 1533-position model. The record is from RNAcentral.
AGCGAACGCUGGCGGCGUGCCUAACACAUGCAAGUCGAACGUGAAAGGGAGCAAUCCUGAGUAAAGUGGCGUACGGGUGAGUAACGCGUAGAUAAUCUAACCUAAAGCCUGGAAUAACCGGCCGAAAGGCUGGCUAAUACUGGAUAGAGCGCAGAAUUCGUAAGAGGGUGUUUCGGGAAGGGGAGGAAGGAAUUCCCUUCACUUUAGGAUGAGCCGGCGUCCCAUCAGCUAGUUGGUGAGGUAAUAGCUUACCAAGGCAAUGACGGGUAGCUGGUCUGAGAGGAUGAGCAGCCACACUGGAACUGAAACACGGUCCAGACUCCUACGGGAGGCAGCAGUGGGGAAUCUUGCGCAAUGGACGAUAGUCUGACGCAGCAACGCCGCGUGAGUGAAGAAGGCCUUAGGGUUGUAAAGCUCUGUCGCCCGGGACGAAAAAUUAUUAGGUGAAUAGCCUAGUAAUCUGACGGUACCGGGAAAGGAAGCACCGGCUAACUCCGUGCCAGCAGCCGCAGUAA